CUGUUAAGACAGUGGUGACAAUUUCUCAGUAAGAAAUCAGGCUUGAGAAAUGUCAAGCCUAAUUUUUCAUCUAAAAGUGACUGUCAGACAAUGCCAAACAUCUUGGUGUCUUUGUAUUCCAUUGAAGGAGACAGGAGGCAUUUGUAUUCAGUAAUGCAACGCUGAGUGAGUCAAAAUUCUGCCUUGUGAUCGUGUGAUUUAUUGUUAAUAUUGCCCAAGAUACGGAGGGGCUUCUCUGCCUUCAUCCGGCAUCCAUUUCCCAGUUGUAAUUAAUCUUUAUUACAUUGCAUAGCUCACCUCUGGUUUGGAAUGUUAAAGAGAUGCCUCAGAAUAGAGUCUGGAAUCAGUUUCUUCUCCAAGUUUCACCCU
Molecule: long non-coding RNA, 369 nt
Filed under: Bos taurus (domestic cattle)
Lineage: Eukaryota; Metazoa; Chordata; Mammalia; Artiodactyla; Bovidae
Description: long non-coding RNA NONBTAT019718
Source: RNAcentral